CAAGAGUUGGAGGAUAUGAGUCAAUAAUUUUAGUUCUCCCAGUUUCACACUGUAAAAGAAUAUGAUUACUUUUUGGCAUAAGGACAAGGCUUUGACCGCAAAGGUGAGGGAGCUUGAAGAUCAUACACAAGGAGAAUCGCAGAUGGGAGGCAUCCCAGCCCUUCAAUCAUUCAAGAUCUGGAACUUGUGAGAACACCCUGAGGAAAACAGCUGCGUGAUUGCAAAGAGGAAGAAAUCUCACAUGAGUGUGAAGUAUUGUAAUUUAAAUAA
Long non-coding RNA from Fukomys damarensis (Damara mole-rat), 270 nucleotides. RefSeq lists it as uncharacterized. NCBI's taxonomy places the organism in Eukaryota, Metazoa, Chordata, Mammalia, Rodentia, Bathyergidae. The record is from RefSeq and is a predicted model, not a curated record. The transcript is spliced from 3 exons.